This 497-nucleotide ribosomal RNA is filed under the name uncultured bacterium. RNAcentral's name for it is "partial 16S ribosomal RNA". It matches the Rfam family "Bacterial small subunit ribosomal RNA", at positions 28 to 507 of the family's 1533-position model. The record is from RNAcentral.
GAUGAACGCUGGCGGCGUGCCUAAUACAUGCAAGUCGAGCGAACGGACGAGAAGCUUUCUUCUCUGAUGUUAGCGGCGGACGGGUGAGUAACACGUGGAUAACCUACCUAUAAGACUGGGAUAACUUCGGGAAACCGGAGCUAAUACCGGAUAAUAUUUUGAACCGCAUGGUUCAAAAGUGAAAGACGGUCUUGCUGUCACUUAUAGAUGGAUCCGCGCUGCAUUAGCUAGUUGGUAAGGUAACGGCUUACCAAGGCAACGAUGCAUAGCCGACCUGAGAGGGUGAUCGGACACACUGGAACUGAGCCACGGUCCAGACUCCUACGGGAGGCAGCAGUAGGGAAUCUUCCGCAAUGGGCGAAAGCCUGACGGGGCAACGCCGCGUGAGUGAUGAAGGUCUUCGGAUCGUAAAACUCUGUUAUUAGGGAAGAACAUAUGUGUAAGUAACUGUGCACAUCUUGACGGUACCUAAUCAGAAAGCCACGGCUAACUACGUG